AAGGUAUUAGUUCAUGUGUGCCAGUAUUAGUUGUGUAGAUACCAUUGAUAUUGUUAAGUGUAAUAUAAGGUUAGUAGCUGAAUUUAUUUAUCAGAAAGCAUUUUGUAUGUAAUGCUACAUGUAAUAACUUAUAAGGGUAUUUUAAAUUAGCUUAGUAAAUAUUUAUAUACAGGUUUGUGUUUUUGUGGAGUCUUGAGACACUUUAUGAAUUUGUUUUAAAAGUGUUCUUCUUCUGUUUUGAUUUUGGGUUAAAAAAAACUGUAACUAUCAGUUUUCUGCAAGCCAGUUAGGACCCAUUUUCUUCAUUAUCAAUCAUGUAACUUACACUUGUAAUUUUUUCAGGACCAAUCUUGUUCAUGGUAAAGUUUUUUAAUACUAAUCUUGUUAACUGCCAAGUUUGUUUAAUACCAAUAUUGUUCAUGGUCAAUUUUUUUUCAAGACCAAUCUUGUUCAUGGCCAAGUUUGUUCAAUACCAGUCUUGUUCACAGUCAAGUUUGUUCAAUACCAAUUUUGUUCAUGGCCAUAUUUUUUUCAAAACCAAUCUUGUUCAUGGCUGAUUUUUUAUGCCCCCCUUCGAAGAAGAGGGGGUAUAUUGCUUUGCUCAUGUCGGUCGGUCUGUCGGUCGGUCGGUCGGUCCGUCCACCAGGUGGUUGUCAGACGAUAACUCAAGAACGCUUGGGCCUAGGAUCAUGAAAAUUCAUAGGUACAUUGAUCAUGACUCACAGAUGACCCCUAUUGAUUUUGAGGUCACUAGGUCAAAGGUCAAGGUAACGGUGACCUGAAAUAGUAAAAUGGUUUCCGGAUGAUAACUCAAGAACGCAUACGCCUAGGAUCAUGAAACUUCAUGGGUAGAUUGAUCAUGACUCGCAGAUGACCCCUAUUGAUUUUGAGGUCACUAGGUCAAAGGUCAAGGUCACGGUGACCAGAAAUAGUAAAAUUGUUUUUGAAUGAUAACUUAAAAACGCAUACGCCUAGGAUCAUGAAACUUCAUGGGUAGAUUGAUCAUGACUCGCAGAUGACCCCUAAUGAUUUUGAGGUCACUAGGUCAAAGGUCAAGGUCACGGUGACCCGAAAUAGUAAAAUGGUUUUUGGAUGAUAACUCAAGAACGCAUACGCCUAGGAUCAUGAAACUUCAUAGGUAGAUUGAUCAUGACUUGCAGAUGACCCCUAUUGAUUGUGAGAUCACAAGGUCAAAGGUCAAGGUCAUGGUGACCUGAAAUAGUAAAAUGAUUUUCGGAUGAUAACUCAAGAACGCUUUUGCCUAGGAUCAUGACACUUCAUAGGUACUUUGAUCGUGACCCGCAGAUGACCCCUAUUGAUUUUCAGGUCACUAGGUCAAAGGUCAAGGUCACAGUGACAAAAAUCGUAUUCACACAAUGGCUGCCACUACAAUGGACAGCCCAUAUGGGGGGCAUGCAUGUUUUACAAACAGCCCUUGUUUUUCAAGACUUACUCUUGUUCACUGCCAAGUUUGUUCAAUACCAAUCUUGUUCAUAGCCAUUUUUUUUUCAAGACCCAUCUUGUAUAUGGCUGAGUUUUUUCGAGACCAAUCUUGUAUAUGGCUGAGUUUUUUUCGAGACCAAUCUUGUAUAUGGCUGAGUUUUUCAAGACCAAUCUUGUUCAUGGCUGAGUUUUGUUCAAGACCAAUCUUGUUCAUGGCUGAGUUUUGUUCAAGACCAAUCUUGUUCAUGGCUGAGUUUUGUUCAAGACCAAUCUUGUUCAUGAUAAAUUUUGUCAUUUCUAACUGUGUUGAUGAUUUAUACAUGUAUUCCCCUGUGUUCACUCCUUUGCUUAUUCACAAGUCAUGGUUGAUUGUGUUCACAUUUACACGAGAGUUGUGCCUUGUGAUGGUUGUUAAGUUAAUUGAUAUUAUUCAAACAAUAUUUUGCUUUUUGUAUUUUUUGGGGCAUUUGUUAAAGUUGUCACAUUUUUUUUAUUAGUUCUUAUAUCACUUUGUGCUAAGUUUCGUGUAUCCUUUACAUUUUUCUUUUGCAUUUAAUAGACUUUGUACAGCUGAAAGACUUUGAGGAGUUUAAGUUUUUUUUAAGUUCAGAUCUUUCCACAGGGUUUUAUUGAAUCAAUUAUUUAAGGGGUCUAUGGUUUCUAUUGGGGUAUAUUUAGUGCCAUUCCUUUUAGAAGUAUUUUGUUGUACCUUUUUCUAUUAAGUAUACAAUAUUUUUUAUGUAUUUCUAUCUAUCUAUCUUCUGUUUUAUUUUCUCUGUUAUAAAGAACUUAAAGAAAUUA
Dreissena polymorpha is the source of this 2244-nucleotide long non-coding RNA. RefSeq lists it as uncharacterized. The record is from RefSeq and is a predicted model, not a curated record. The transcript is spliced from 2 exons. Lineage: Eukaryota; Metazoa; Mollusca; Bivalvia; Myida; Dreissenidae.